Non-coding RNA from Lactuca sativa (garden lettuce), 1998 nucleotides. The record is from RefSeq and is a predicted model, not a curated record. NCBI's taxonomy places the organism in Eukaryota, Viridiplantae, Streptophyta, Magnoliopsida, Asterales, Asteraceae.
CACCUAAUUAUUUUACUUUCUUCUUAUUUUCAUUAAUUUUCAUUCUUCUCUUUUUCUAGGCUAAAGGUGUCAUGUUUUUUUUGUCAAUGGUAAAAGGGUGUCACGUAGACUUUUACAUUUUAUAUAUUUUUUGCCUAUGAAGUGUGAUGUCGUGCCUAUGAGUUUUUUUUUAAUUUCAUUUUAGAAAAAUAUUAAAAAAAAAUUAAAACCAUACUAAAAUUUAAAAUAACAUAAACUUAAAAAUUACAAUUUAAAAUUCCUAAAAAUUAAAAAAAAACAUGAAAAUUAAGAUUACAUUGAAAACGUAAAAAAAAUAAAAAAUAAAUAAAUAAAUAAACAUAACGUUAAAAUUUAAAAACCUAGAAAAAAUCAUCGAAUUUUCAAUUGCAUUUUGUUAUAUAAGAAUAAGUAUCUAUAGCGACAAAGCCGAAAGGGACGACGAAGGUCGUCGCUAUAGGUGGAGCUAUGGGGACGAUUUGUCGUUCCAAUGGGGUUGACCAAAAUUGUGUUUGACCUUGAUAUUUGUAAACGACUUGGCAGGUCUCAAAUGGUUAGCGGGAAUUUUCCCAGGUUCCUGAAAAGUAAUAGGGAUGACAAUUCGUCUCAACUAAAAAAAAAUUAAAUAUAUUUCUUUUUUAAUUUUGAAGCUAGGUCUCUUCCAUCAUUCACAAUCGCAUCUCAUUCACCCUUUUCUCUCUCGAUCGAACGACCCCUACUUGACGCCGACCACCGCCACAACGACGUUUUCCGGUUCCAUUGAUGCCUCCGACCUCCACAACGACCACCGCCUUCACCGUCUGUGACUUGCGGCCUGCUCUCUUCACGAGGAAAAUUUGAGCUCCAUGUGUUGAUUCCAACUCCCUGUUUUGAGCUUGGUGUUGAUUCCAACUCUUGAUUUCAUCAAUAGUUUCAAUUUCCCUGAUUCCAGCUUUCUCUCUUUGUUCAUCAACUCUCAUUUUCUCUAGACCCGCUUCAAGGAAAGUUCUUUCACUUUGCACAUGCUCUAUGAGGACAUUGUACAUGUCAGAAUAUGGUGUUAAAAUGUUAAUGCAGAACCCUAUGAGGCCAUGACAUCCAUUUUGGAGGCCACGAAAGAAAAUAAAAGAAGCCUUUUCUCUAAAAGUUACAAUCUAGUGUUUAUUGGAGGUAAUGGAGUUAUGGAGGUAUGUAUUAUUAUGUGAUUUUGAUUCAAAAGUUAGAGGAAACAAAGAUAAUCUCAGUUUUAGCUUACUUAAGGGGGUGUUCGGCACGGAGCGUUUGAGAGCUUCUAGCUUCUAGCGUUUGACAAAACACUCCGUUUAAAACAAAAAGCCUCGUUUGGCACUACAAGCUUCUAGCGUUUAGUUUAAUCAAAACGCUUCAAAUCCAAAUGCUACUUCAUGUAGCGUUUAACAAAACGCUACAAGCUACAAGCUACCCGCUACUAGUUAGUUUUGCCGAACAUGCCCUAAAUGUGUUUGUUGGCAUACUAAAACUUACUAAAACGUGACAUAUAUUUUCAAUUUAAUGUUCAGGAUGAGAUUUUUUAAGGGUUUGUGGACCAUGAUUACCAAAGUCAGAUUAUGAGGUUAUGGAUGGUAAAUAAUAUGUGGAUGAUCAUUUGACAAAGAUAUUUGAAGCAUGUAUGGUUGUCUUUUAAGGUUACUAUAAUUAUUUGGCUGAAUGAUUUAUAUUAUGAUGAAGCAAAGGACUUAAUCUUAGAAAGGAAAUUAAAAUGACUUGAAGAGACCGACCAACAUAACACAACAUUCAAAUGUGAAAUUCUUUUCCAAAAAAUGUCUGAAGCUGUAAUUACAAUUUCUCCUACCUAAAAGUUUCAAAGGCAUCAUUGUGUAAAAUUGUAUAUAUAUAUAUAUAUAUAUAGGGUUAAGUUCAAAUGAGAACACAAUUUAAUGUGAGAACGUGAGAACGCUACUUUAUGUUACUAUUCUACUAUGAAUUUAAUAUUUAUAGUAUUGUAGUAAUUAUAAUAUGAAUAUAUUCAAUUUUAUAUUGUUA